AGUGAACGCUGGCGGCGUGCUUAACACAUGCAAGUCGAACGAGAACGGGUUAUAGCUUGCUAUAAUUGUCAGCUAAGUGGCGCACGGGUGAGUAAUGUAUAGGUAAUAUGCCUCUUACUAAGGGAUAACAAAUGGAAACGUUUGCUAAUACCUUAUACUCCUUAUUAACAGAAGUUAAUAAGGGAAAGAUUUAUUGGUAAGAGAUUAGCCUGUAUUGUAUCAGUUAGUUGGUGAGGUAAUGGCUUACCAAGACUAUGACACAUAACUGGUUUGAGAGGAUGAUCAGUCACACUGGAACUGAGACACGGUCCAGACUCCUACUGGAGGCAGCAGUGUGGAAUAUUGCACAAUGGACGAAAGGCUGAUGCAGCAACGCCGCGUGGAGGAUGACACAUUUCGGUGCGUAAACUCCUUUUAUAUGAGAAGAUAAUGACGGUAUUAUAUGAAUAAGCACCGGCUAACUCCGUGCCAUCCGCCGCCGUAA
This 484-nucleotide ribosomal RNA is filed under the name uncultured bacterium. RNAcentral describes it as "partial 16S ribosomal RNA". It matches the Rfam family "Bacterial small subunit ribosomal RNA", at positions 29 to 523 of the family's 1533-position model. The record is from RNAcentral.